Molecule: transfer RNA, 76 nt
Filed under: Acholeplasmataceae bacterium
Lineage: Bacteria; Bacillati; Mycoplasmatota; Mollicutes; Acholeplasmatales; Acholeplasmataceae
Also listed under: 1 other name
Description: tRNA-Ala
Rfam family: tRNA
About the family: Transfer RNA (tRNA) molecules are approximately 80 nucleotides in length.
Source: RNAcentral
GGGUCCUUAGCUCAGCUGGGAGAGCGCCUGUUUUGCACGCAGGAGGCCGAGGGUUCGAGCCCCUUAGGAUCCACCA